UACGUAGGAGGCAAGCGUUAUCCGGAAUGACUGGGCGUAAAGGGUGCGUAGGUGGUUCAGCAAGUUAGUAGCGUAACUCCGGGGCUCAACUCCGGCACUACUACUAAAACUGUUGGACUUGAGUGCAGGAGGGGCAACUGGAAUUCCUAGUGUAGCGGUGGAAUGCGUAGAUAUUAGGAAGAACACCGGUGGCGAAGGCGAGUUGCUGGACUGUAACUGACACUGAGGCACGAAAGCGUGGGGAGCAAACAGG
This 253-nucleotide ribosomal RNA is filed under the name uncultured bacterium. RNAcentral describes it as "partial 16S ribosomal RNA". It matches the Rfam family "Bacterial small subunit ribosomal RNA", at positions 524 to 776 of the family's 1533-position model. The record is from RNAcentral.